Molecule: ribosomal RNA, 253 nt
Filed under: uncultured bacterium
Lineage: Bacteria
Description: partial 16S ribosomal RNA
Rfam family: Bacterial small subunit ribosomal RNA
Source: RNAcentral
GACGUAGGGCGCGAGCGUUGUCCGGAUUUAUUGGGCGUAAAGAGCUCGUAGGCGGCUUGUUGCGUCGACUGUGAAAACCCGCGGCUUAACUGCGGGCUUGCAGUUGAUACGGGCAGGCUAGAGUUCGGUAGGGGAGACUGGAAUUCCUGGUGUAGCGGUGGAAUGCGCAGAUAUCAGGAAGAACACCAACGGCGAAGGCAGCUCGCUGGGACGGUACUGACGCUGAGACGCGAAAGCGUGGGGAGCGAACAGG